GAUGAACGCUAGCUACAGGCUUAACACAUGCAAGUCGAGGGGUAACGACAUCGAUAGCUUGCUUUUGUUGGUCGUCGACCGGCGCACGGGUGGGUAACGCGUAUCCUACUUGCCCAUCACUUGGGAAUAACCUUGUGAAAGUAAGACUAUUACCCUAUGACAUCCCUCGAAUACAUCUGAAUGGGAUUAAUGAUUUAUCGGUGUUGGAUGGGGAUGUGUCUGAUUAGCUUGUUGGCGGGGUAACGGCCCACCAAGGCAACGAGCAGUAGGGGUUCUGAGAGGAAGGACACCCACAUUGGAACAGAGACAAGGUCCAAACUCCUACGGGAGGCAGCAGUGAGGAAUAUUGGUAAAUGGGCGAGAGCCUGAAACAGCCAAGUAGCGUGCAGGAUGACGGCACUAUGGGUUGUAAACUGAUUUUAUAAGGGAAUAAAGUGGGUCUAAUGAGACUUUUUGCAUGUACCUUAUGAAUAAGGAACGGCUAAUUCCGUG
RNAcentral lists this ribosomal RNA (492 nucleotides) under uncultured bacterium. RNAcentral's name for it is "partial 16S ribosomal RNA". It matches the Rfam family "Bacterial small subunit ribosomal RNA", at positions 28 to 507 of the family's 1533-position model. The record is from RNAcentral.